GACGAACGCUGGCGGCGUGCUUAACACAUGCAAGUCGAACGGAAAGGCCCUGCUUUUGUGGGGUGCUCGAGUGGCGAACGGGUGAGUAACACGUGAGUAACCUGCCCUUGACUUUGGGAUAACUUCAGGAAACUGGGGCUAAUACCGGAUAGGAGCUCCUGCUGCAUGGUGGGGGUUGGAAAGUUUCGGCGGUUGGGGAUGGACUCGAGGCUUAUCAGCUUGUUGGUGGGGUAGUGGCUUACCAAGGCUUUGACGGGUAGCCGGCCUGAGAGGGUGACCGGCCACAUUGGGCCUGAGGUAGGGCCCAGACGGCUACGGGAGGCAGCAGUGGGGAAUAUGGCACAGUGGGCGGAAGCCUGAUGCAGAGGCCCCGCGUGCGGGAUGACGGCCUUCGGGUUGUGAACCGCUUUCGCCGGUGACGAAGCGUGAGUGACGGUAAUGGGUAAGGAAGCACCGGCUAACUACGUG
This 468-nucleotide ribosomal RNA is filed under the name uncultured bacterium. Its description in RNAcentral is "partial 16S ribosomal RNA". It matches the Rfam family "Bacterial small subunit ribosomal RNA", at positions 28 to 507 of the family's 1533-position model. The record is from RNAcentral.